ACAAUCUCAACCUUUUGUGGACGGCUUGCGGAACAGGCCUUUUCUCAACCGCGGGAUGGCGUCUGCUAGGCGCCUAUGUGCCUGUUGGAGCCACCAGUAAAUCACCUUUGACUCUCACACAACUGUAAGCUGAGAGAGCUUCUUCUAACCCUCGUGCCUAAACCCUAUUCUAUACCCUUUUCGUCCGAGUUACGACUCUUCUGGUUCACAUACGUCCUUCAACAGACGUCCACGAGACCACUUAGUGUUGGUGAGUGACUGUGGAUGUACACCGCUCUUCCACUUAACCGGCCGGGUGUAGUUUAACUACAGAUGUACUUCCUAGACGGCUGUUUGUCGACACUAUUUCGUGGUAUACUCCUCAACUCAUACUCUUGAUGUAAAACGUCGUAGACGUCUCCAUUCUCCGUAUUCUUCUGGUGGGCAGCUGUCUCUCUACUAAACGGCUUUGUUGGUUCCUUCCUUCGUUUUACGUCAUUGACACCACGUCGCCCUGUGUCCUUUUUAUUAACGUACUUGGGACUUCCACAAUUCGACGUUUAACCCGGACGUACCGAUCCCUAUCGUCUAAAUUCUAAGUUAAACGUUUGUUUGUUUACAAAAUACUAACUCCGUUUGAACACACCCGUCCGACACGUAUAUAGGGUCGAUCACUAGCUCAACGAAAUAUUUUCACGUCUAGGUAAUCGACCCAGAGAGAGACUCCGGUAAAAGUUAGCACACACCUUGGUUAAACUUCUUUUCCUAUAGCAACCCUCUCCCCCACCGCGUCGUUACAACGGUCCUCCUUCUACCGAGGUAGGUAGUCGAUCAGCUCGAGGCACAGGAGUACAGUCCGAACCGAACCUCACGACU
This 855-nucleotide ribosomal RNA is filed under the name Triticum aestivum (bread wheat). Its description in RNAcentral is "partial small subunit ribosomal RNA". Lineage: Eukaryota; Viridiplantae; Streptophyta; Magnoliopsida; Poales; Poaceae. The record is from RNAcentral.